GAUGAAGAACGUAGCGAAAUGCGAUAAGUAAUGUGAAUUGCAGAAUUCAGUGAAUCAUCGAAUCUUUGAACGCAUCUUGCGCUCCUUGGUAUUCUGAGGAGCAUGCCUGUUUGAGUGUCAUUAAAUUCUCAACUACACUGACUUUGAAUUGGUGUGGCUUGGAUUUGGGGGGAAAAUUGUUGUGGGCUUUUUGUAUAGUCUGCUCCCCUGAAAUUGAUUAGCGGUACCUUUGUGGAACUGUCUACAGGUGUGAUAAUUAUCUACAUCUUAGACAUCUGCUGGAAUGCUGCUUUCUAAACCUUACUUGUAUUGACAAUCUUGACCUCAAAUCAGGUAGGACUACCCGCUGAACUUAAGCAUAUCAAUAGGGAGGA
RNAcentral lists this unclassified non-coding RNA (374 nucleotides) under soil metagenome. RNAcentral's name for it is "partial contains 5.8S ribosomal RNA, internal transcribed spacer 2, and large subunit ribosomal RNA". The stretch from base 1 to 120 matches the Rfam family "5.8S ribosomal RNA", at positions 35 to 154 of the family's 154-position model. The record is from RNAcentral.